UACAAAGGGUGCAAGCGUUGUUCGGAUUUAUUGGGCGUAAAGCGCGCGUAGGCGGACCUGCAAGUCAGAUGUGAAAUCUCGGGGCUCAACCCCGAAACUGCGUCUGAAACUACAGGUCUAGAAUCUUGGAGGGGGAAGGGGAAUUUCGCAUGUAGGGGUAAAAUCCGUAGAUAUGCGAAGGAACACCAGAGGCGAAGGCGCCUUCCUGGACAAGUAUUGACGCUGAGGCGCGAAAGCGUGGGGAUCAAACAGG
This 253-nucleotide ribosomal RNA is filed under the name uncultured bacterium. Its description in RNAcentral is "partial 16S ribosomal RNA". It matches the Rfam family "Bacterial small subunit ribosomal RNA", at positions 524 to 776 of the family's 1533-position model. The record is from RNAcentral.